AACGAACGCUGGCGGCGUGCCUAACACAUGCAAGUCGAACGAGACCUCCGGGCCUAUUUGCGCAGCGGUACGUAACACCUGGUAACUUACACUUAGGUUACGUACAACUCCCCGAAGGAGAUCUUAAUACCGCUGAAUCUCUUACCACCUAAGAUUUACUGCUGUUGGAUGGGCGCGCGUUGGAUUGGGCAGUUGGUAGGGUAUAAGCCUGCCAACGCGACGUUCCAUAGCUGGUCUGAGAGGAUGAUCAGCCAGACUGGGACUGAGACACGGCCCAGUCUGCUACGGGAGGCAGCAGUGGAGAACAUUGGAGGAUGGGCGAAAGCCUGAUCCAGCAAUGCGGGGUGAGUGAUGAAGGCCGUAGGGUUGUAAAGCUCUUUUACCCGGGAUGAUAGUGACAGUACCGGGAGAAUAAGCUCCGGCUAACUCCGUG
RNAcentral lists this ribosomal RNA (433 nucleotides) under uncultured bacterium. Its description in RNAcentral is "partial 16S ribosomal RNA". It matches the Rfam family "Bacterial small subunit ribosomal RNA", at positions 29 to 507 of the family's 1533-position model. The record is from RNAcentral.